UCGGACGUGGUGUACAGUGCGCGCUUGCUUAGAUUGAGUGUUGUAUGUAACUGCAAGCAGGGGGUCCGGGUUCGACUCCCGGUGUCCGAA
This is a non-coding RNA of Mycena galericulata, 90 nucleotides long. The record is from the annotation of a GenBank genome assembly. NCBI's taxonomy places the organism in Eukaryota, Fungi, Basidiomycota, Agaricomycetes, Agaricales, Mycenaceae.